GGAGCAUGUGGUUUAAUUCGAUGAUACGCGAGGAACCUUACCAAGACUUAAAUGGGAAUUGACAGGUUUAGAAAUAGACUCUCCUUCGGGCAAUUUUCAAGGUGCUGCAUGGUUGUCGUCAGCUCGUGCCGUGAGGUGUUAGGUUAAGUCCUGCAACGAGCGCAACCCCUGUCACUAGUUGCUAACAUUCAGUUGAGGACUCUAGUGAGACUGCCUACGCAAGUAGAGAGGAAGGUGGGGAUGACGUCAAAUCAUCACGGCCCUUACGUCUUGGGCCACACACGUAAUACAAUGGCCGGUACAGAGGGCAGCUACACAGCGAUGUGAUGCAAAUCUCGAAAGCCGGUCUCAGUUCGGAUUGGAGUCUGCAACUCGACUCUANGAA
Molecule: ribosomal RNA, 385 nt
Filed under: Chryseobacterium sp. AZTITEMP85
Lineage: Bacteria; Pseudomonadati; Bacteroidota; Flavobacteriia; Flavobacteriales; Weeksellaceae
Description: bacterial SSU rRNA
Rfam family: Bacterial small subunit ribosomal RNA
Source: RNAcentral